RNAcentral lists this ribosomal RNA (433 nucleotides) under uncultured bacterium. RNAcentral describes it as "partial 16S ribosomal RNA". It matches the Rfam family "Bacterial small subunit ribosomal RNA", at positions 29 to 507 of the family's 1533-position model. The record is from RNAcentral.
AACGAACGCUGGCGGCAUGCCUAACACAUGCAAGUCGAACGAGACCUUCGGGUCUAGUGUCGCACGGGUGCGUAACGCGUGGGAACCUGCCCUUAGGUUCGGACUAACUCCCCGACAGGGGUGCUAAUACCGGAUAAUGUCUUCGGACCAAAGAUUUAUCGCCUUUGGAUGGGCCCGCGUUGGAUUAGCUUGUUGGUAGGGUAAAAGCCCACCACGGGGACGAUCCAUAGCUGGUCUGAGAGGCUGAGCAGCCACACUGGGACUGAGACACGGCCCAGACUCCUACGGGAGGGAGCAGUGGGGAAUAUAGGACAGUGGGCGAAAGGCUGAUGCAGCAAUGCCGGGAGAGUGAUGAAGGCCUGAGGGUUGUAAAGCGCUUUUAACCGGGAUGAUAAUGACAGUACCGGGAGAAUAAGCACCGGCUAACUCCGUG